GCGUUCCAAAGACAGCAGGCGCCGAAAGGCUUAAUUUCCUGCCGAGGUGCGGAUAAUCCUUAUGAGCUUAUCUGUGUGCUUUCGUGCUUUGGCGCGAAGGCGCUUUUUUGUUG
This 113-nucleotide small RNA is filed under the name bovine gut metagenome. Its description in RNAcentral is "Ribosomal protein L10 leader". It matches the Rfam family "Ribosomal protein L10 leader", at positions 17 to 133 of the family's 138-position model. From Rfam's summary of the family: This family is a putative r-protein leader autoregulatory structure found in B. subtilis and other low-GC Gram-positive bacteria. It is located in the 5' untranslated regions of mRNAs encoding ribosomal proteins L10 and L12 (rplJ-rplL). A Rho-independent transcription terminator structure that is probably involved in regulation is included at the 3' end. The record is from RNAcentral.